Molecule: long non-coding RNA, 6892 nt
Organism: Pomacea canaliculata
Lineage: Eukaryota; Metazoa; Mollusca; Gastropoda; Architaenioglossa; Ampullariidae
Exons: 3
Source: RefSeq, a predicted model, not a curated record
AGAGCGUGUUUUUCAACUCUUUGAUUCUUCGCUCAUUCGAAUUUUGCUCCCUGAUUCUCUUAGAGUUUCAAAAAGCUAGCCAGAGUGACUCUCCAUGCCAAGGGAAGUCUGCCGACUGAAAAGGAGGAGAGGGCGGUGAGACGGCAAAGAGAACUGCACGCUCCAAAAACCUUCCAUCGACAGUUGAAAAGAACCCUAGCCGUCCCGGAGGAGACUGGAAAUAUUUCAAGUUAAAAGCCUUCUAUCUUUGAAGUCGCUAUAAUGGAGGGGCCUUUUCAGCAAGUUUUGCGCCGAUUUUGAUUAAAACGGCGCGCAGCCAAUAAAACUCGCGGAACCUUUUCUUUCGUGAUUUGUUGGCCAGGUGAAAAUUUAGUUGUGGCGGGGGAUAGUCCCCAAAACUCGCAGGAAAAGGUUCAGUUUAACAUUGUACUAAAUUAUGUGCUAACAUACUUUACAUUGUGCUAAUGUUUGAAGGGGGUCUGUAUCUAAACAGGAACAAUUAAAAGGAAGGUGAAGCCAAGGCUGUGGUCUAUAAACAAAUGACUACUUAUUUGAAUAAAUGAAUAAACUGCAAAGUUGUCUGGUAGGUAAGACAAAAUUUGGAAGGGUAAUUUGAUCGACAAGCAAGACGUCAAGAUAAAUUAUGUGCUUCCCUCGACUUUGGCACCAACGAUGCGCAUCGAAAUCGUAAUGGCUGCCGAGUUUUAAAAAUAUCGUAUUUAAAUAUGUGGACAAAGAAUACUAAGCGGGUGCAACAUGCGUAACGCUUGAAUCGUCUGAUCCCUCCCGUGCAUCACCCCCACCUCUUCUCCGCCCUCUUUGUUCUGUUUCAUCACAGAUUCGCGAUCGGAGUGGGAGGCCCCAGGGUACUGGUUGAUACGUAGAUCAGAUACGUCUAUCAAGUUUUCCCACCGUGUUCCCUUCCUCCCCACCAUCCUCUCCACUCACCCACCACUUCCCCUGUGCUGUUCGCGAACUUUGAUGUCUGCUGCUGCCUUCAUAAAGGCCGAAUGGGUUGAGGGAGUGAGCAGUCAGUCCUACUGCCACUUGUGACUGAAAUCGUCCUCUGCCGUGGCUAGCCGAGACAGGUCACAAUGCUCCCAUGUCGGUUCGCCGCGACUGAGUCGUUAUGCAACGCAUGGCAAGGGAAGUAACUUCCGCACGAUCUGAGCAGACGAUCUCCGGUUGACGACACUGCAAAAGGGACUGCAGACAAGUUUCGUGCAUGGCGGCGAUGGAGGCACGUAGACGGGUCCGACUGGCGUGAUGGGUACGAGGACGCCUAGACCACGACUCCAACCUGUUGUCUACAACUUCAAAGCGCCUGCGUGCAGGAAGACAAGACUGCUGCGCGACUUGCCAGUGCCUCAAGGCGUUCUCGACCUGCCAUGAGAUUAAAACCAGACGUUUGGCAUAUGGUCUCAAAACAGAUCUCAUCAAUUCCAUGCUUGCUAUCAGCUUCUAUGUUAUAUUCUUUGAUCAUGUCACGUGAAGCAAGACAUUUGAAAACGGACAACUUCAAGAACCAUUUCGGGAACUACAGUCAGCAACACUCCAUCGUCUUUUCAUUCAAAUGCAAAGACACUUUGAGAAAUGUCUUUCCUGUUGCUGCCACCAGGAGAUGCUCUUACAAGCAGUUAGCUUAAAAGUGUUGGAGGAACAGAGGAUGAGAAACGAGUAUCUUUAAGGAAUGUCCAACAUCUCGUCUGCCGGCAUGUCCAACAUCUUCUUGUCAUCAUCGCCGGCGGCUCCGGUUUUGUCUUUGGUUAUCUAGCUGUAUGAUUGGGGCAGAAAUAUCAUAAAGCUAGGUUACCAAAGGCAAAAAUGGACGCCAAAUAUCACCCCGGGGGAAUGCUGCUGCAAAAUACAAGAAAACAAAGUUCCUAGGCAGCGGAGAAAGAUGUGAGGAGACCAAACGUUGAGUUAUGACGUCAUCAAAAUGGUGGCUAACAGCUCCUCUCCGUAAACCGAGUUGCAGACAUCAGCCGAAGACGCCGUCUCACAGAUGCUGUCAGUUAAAGCAAUCAACAGAUGGACGGUUGCAGAAGACGGAGGAUCCGAGCAAGCGAGCGCGUUGGGAGGAUAAAAGAGCUGUGUUGGAAUGCAGUAUUGGCAUCUGCCAAUCACCAUUGGCCCUGUGGGUCACGUGAGGGUGGCAAGUGCAGGUUAUUUCCGUCUCCCAUGACGGAAUGAAUCCUUACCUAGCCUGCAAUUAGCAAGUUGGCAUAGACUGAGCGAUGUAACGAUAUGCCAUAGAUUUCAAAGAAGCACACCCGUAUCUUCACCAGGCCGCAGAAUAAAUGCUUUAUGGUUUCGUAAAAACGGUGAGCUCCUAUUUUUCUUAAAGGUCUCUAUCAGAAGUUAUGAGACUCUGUUUUUAUUUUUUCAGAAAUUGAACACGCUGCUAUUUCUAAACUCGUAGUUCACCUAUACAGAGCUGACAAGAAGACAGCCGGUCACAAAGUUCAUCAGCCGACUUUCCACUCCCAUUUCUCACUCUCUCUCUCUCUUUUUCGCUCGCACGCGUGUUAUAUGCCUAUCGCUGUAAAAAGUUUCCACUCGAAUUUUAGUUUGCUUUUUCUUUUUCUUCAACCUUUCCCAGUUUUUAACAAUAUGGGUACGGGCUGGAUUUGCUUGUUUGGUUCUACAUUUAAAAGCUGUAUCGAACCAAGGUUAUUUUCUUUUCCUAUUUCACCCACAGUGUCCCGAUAUACGAGUGUGGUUAAUAAAUGGGUGCUUGUUGCUCCGUGUCUCUAGUAAAACUCGCCCUGCUUUGAGACACUUUCUGUCUCAAUUUCCUCCAAGCUGAAUGGUGGACAAUGACCUCCUGACGUCAAGCCUUAAGAAAACGCUGAAUUCAUUCCCCUUGAAGGUUGAACUUCAGGUAUUACCGAGAUGAAUGAGGGGAGAAAAAAAAAAAGAGAGAGAUCCGCAUGAAUGGAGAUGAAAGAGAAUGGCAAUUGUUGACGAAGGAAUGUGAAAGAGGAAUUACUAGCCAGUGGGGAAAAGCGAAAGAAAUGAUUUAAACAAAACGAGAGACAGAGAGUAUUUCAGGUUAUGGCUGUCUAAAUCUGAUUUCCAAAUUUCCAGAAUGCACCUUGAAUUAGCAUUUCUGAUAUAUAUAUAGAAAGCGGAAUUACAUCUUGAUCCGAUUUACACAGGAUGUCAACAUGUACCGUUGUCCUUUUCGUGGUCACGUGACAUUGCUCGUCACGUCAGCAUCGCUACUCGCCAGACGUGCAGCUUCUGCCAUUUGGACUACGGUGUCUGUCAUGCAGCUUCCUCUGAUGGCUGAUUUAAAUACAGUGCACAUGGCCCACUUUCUCUACACGAUAGUUUUUUUUAUGUAUUAUAUAGUUAGCUAAACGAUGACUCUAUUCCUUUUAGUUUAUUAUUUAUUCAUUUCCCUUCCCACUUGUGACUUACUCUAUGAGUCCUGUUUGAUGUUUAUUUCCCAAUCGUACCCUUUCAUGUCCUUCAUCAAAAUGUCUCCGUCAUAUAUUUUUUUUAUUUCUUGACAAAGCUUACAAUAAAACAGACAUUUUUCACUAAAAACAAGAAUGGCCGACGACAUUCUUUUUCUUCGUUCUUUUUUUCUUCAUCAUCAUCAUCAUCAUCCAUCAUCCAUCAUCAUCAAUCAUCAUCAUCAUCAGUUUAGGCCACCUUUGGGUAUGUUUCAUGGUUUAAGACAUUUUUCUCCAUACAUAGGCUAACCAUAGAAAACAUGUAAUAAGUAAUUAUUUACAUAAGUAAUUAUUUUUAUGUCUGUGUGUUUAUACUUUAAGUGCCUUGAGUGUGGCUGAUGCUGAAAAAAGGUGCUAUGCAAAUUUGCUAUUUAUUAUUAUUAAGUAUAAAAUGCCUAAAAGAGCAACAAUAAACCUUUUUGGUACAUAACUUCACUUUCACUAAUGCUUUAACGCAAUCUUCCUAUUGGUGUAAAUAAUAUUUUAAUACAAGCUUUGUGUUGAUUAUAGUAACGGUUUAAUACAAACUUUUUACUAAAGUUAUUAAAGUUUAACCUUUAGAACAUGUCUGUGUCAUACGUUUCAUGCUAUCCGUCUUAGAAUAUAAAAAAGGUUUUGGAAGGAAAAUAGUAUGAACAUUAUAAAUGAACACAAUUUUUCUUUCCUUCAUAGCGUCAUGAAUUAAAUGGAACUUUCUACAAACUGAAAUUAAAUUUACACUGGUGGUAGCGACAGUAAAAUCCCUCUAGAUAGCGAUUCAAAAUUCCGAUAAGUAAUUGUAAUUUUAUGAAAUUUUAAGCAUAACUUAUAUAGGGCCGGAAAGGUCUCUAGAUAAUAACAAUAAAAACAUUUCAAAGACCUUUUUACUGCAUUUCUAGAUAUCUAAUCAAUAAGAGAAAGUUUGUUUGUCGAGGAAUGUUUUGAUGGCGGAGUAUGUGGAGGCCAAGAGAGUCCCCAGGCGGAAGCUUUGUGGUGACGUCACAUCCAGUUGGCCUUCCUUAUCAAUAGCCUUAUAAUCAUAAUAAUGACAAACAGUAUAGUGUCUUUCUCGUUUCUAAGACAAAACACUUUUCAUGUUUAAUUGAUCAUGUAUUUCCCAGAAAUACUGCGAUGUUAUUAGAAUGAAUAGUGAAUUGUUCACGUGAUACAAAAAAUGCAUACAAAGAAGAAUAAUAUUUUGAAAUAAGUAAUUAAUAUUUUUUAAAUUACACUUUUAAUCAGGAGCUAAGCUAGCCAGUGAAAUCGAGAAGAUUAUGAGUGAAAUCAGCUUAAUUCAUUCUAACUGUGGUGGGGAUAAUAAAAGUCGGUUCAAUUAAAUGUCAGACUGGGAUAAUGUUAAUAGUAAAAUGACGCCAUUUGAAAUGUGCAAUUUUUCGUUUAAUCCGCUCUCUCUCUCACACACACACACACAAACACGCACGCACGCACACACUCUUCCAUCAAACGGUCAUUCGCUCAGUUAAUGAAUGUCAUGAGGGAUUUAAGCGCAUGGUAGCUAAUGUGCUACUCAAUUCCUCCCUUUCUCCCUCAACGUCAUGUUUCAUUCUGCACACUCCCAAUAUCUUUUAAGUUUUCAAGAAAAUAUGUAAAUAUUUCUCCCUUGUAUCACAGGCAAAGCAUUAGCAGCACCAUUGAUUGGCAGCCACAUCCGUGAGUCACUCGCAUCCAUUUGAUGGUCAGUUUUACAGUCAAGCGGUGGGUGGGUGAGUGGAUUGGAAUGACCCCGGCAAGUUUACUGGAAAACUGAAGAAAGUAGACAAAGAAACUCUAGCUCGUAAUCACUUUACUGUGCCUGCAACUUUUCUCUUCACGUUGCUUCUUGUCGCAUGUUUUCUCCAGACGCUUCUAGAAUUACAGCAAAACCUGUCGAAAUGCCCUGUUAAGAGAUCUUGAUAAAUCAAGAGGGAAUUCUAACUCCGCCAUGUGUGGUGUCUGACAUGUGAAUAAUACAAACGUUUACAUAUUUACAGUAUGCACAUAGCAAUACCCGACAUCAAUAGUUAGUUAUCAGGUGACCUCGGUGACAAUACAUACACUCAAAAAUUGGAAAUUAUUCUCCAGUCGUCUGCUUUUGGUGAGAGGUGAACAAUUUUAACUCCCUGCCUCCUCCCUCUUCUUUUAUUAAGGGAGGAAAGGGGAGGGGGCCAAUUUUGCGGUGGGGGAGUGCGGCAUUUGUGUCGCAGUUUUUUUUAAACCUUGAAACGGCCAUCAGUGCCAUUCAAUCAUGCGCUCUGUGGUAACGACUUCUUUGCGCCGUAUUUUCUUAACUUUUUUACUUUUUUUGCUAAUGGCCCAUCAGUUUUAAAUUUGAAUUAGGAACCGCCUCAAACUGAAUUAUCUCAAAUCAUUUUGCUUCACUCCCAAGUGGAAGCAUCUGGUUACGACAAAAAGAAGCAGUCAUGCGAGGCAGGUUCCAUCUGUCGGCCCUCGCGAGGUGACAGCAGAGCAGCCGCCGGCGACUGUCACAUCAUGGACGAGCUUGCUUCCUCACCAGCAGGCUUCCAUGGAUACGUGCAGCACACUGGCGGAAGUGCCUGUCGUCAGCCCGAAGAUGCUCGAGGAAGCAGAGGAGCCUGAAGGAACAAGACUAUAGUGAUCUUGUCAGUGUCAUACCAACACUUGGUUGCUGCAUGUGCAGGCGAAGAUCCCGAAGUUCGGUAAGACUGUUGAGGGAACGGGACUGAUGGCUGCAUGACAAGCCUCAACAGUUGACGAACACCUGCACUAACUCUGCCACAGACCUAACAUACCCCUGCGCCUGCGUGUAAUAUUAUUAAUGUUUAUUGUAGUGCAUAGAUACACACAAAUACACAUACAUGAUAUAUACGUAGCAUUUAUUCAUUUUCAAUCUGCUUAUCCUUGUCUCUUACAUUAACGCAUGUUCAAUGAGUUCUUCUGUACUUUUUUAAAAAAAAAAAGUACAAUGCAGUCUUUAUCAAUUAAUUUUCCUCUCCUCUAAAAAAAGUCAAUCUCUUGACAGCGUGUCAGAAAUCAAUUUUCUAAUUAUUAGCGAAUGGUUUUAACAAUAUUAAAGUUGUUGAUUCGAUGUUCUGGGACUCUACCGCAAUGAGGCUAAUUAAACUACAGUGCAUAUGACUAGAAAUGUGUGUGUGUUUUAAAUAUGUUUGGCUGAGUAACCCCGAACCCUCCCUCUGAUGAAAUCAUUUUCUACCAGACCUGUAAAAUACUGAUGAGUGACUGAAUACGAGCUCAGCAUCUCGCAAACCUGAGAAGUUCAAGUUCAAGUCUUGAGAAGUAUGUUAGUGGGAACACUACUACUACUAAUUUUUAAUCUAUUGGCUACAUUCCCUACUCAUCUUGAUAUUUACGUAUAUUUACGAAACUGUCAGUUCUUGUUAUCUUAUUCCUCUAUGUGUUUCCUAUAUUUGUCUUUAUAGUCAUAAGUAUUAUUUAUCCUUCUACCCUUC